GAUGAACGCUGGCGGCGUGCCUAAUACAUGCAAGUCGAGCGAACGGACGAGAAGCUUGCUUUUCUGAUGUUAGCGGCGGACGGGUGAGUAACACGUGGAUAACCUACCUAUAAGACUGGGAUAACUUCGGGAAACCGGAGCUAAUACCGGAUAAUAUUUUGAACCGCAUGGUUCAAAAGUGAAAGACGGUCUUGCUGUCACUUAUAGAUGGAUCCGCGCUGCAUUAGCUAGUUGGUAAGGUAACGGCUUACCAAGGCAACGAUGCAUAGCCGACCUGAGAGGGUGAUCGGCCACACUGGAACUGAGACACGGUCCAGACUCCUACGGGAGGCAGCAGUAGGGAAUCUUCCGCAAUGGGCGAAAGCCUGACGGAGCAACGCCGCGUGAGUGAUGAAGGUCUUCGGAUAGUAAAACUCUGUUAUUAGGGAAGAACAUAUGUGUAAGUAACUGUGCACAUCUUGACGGUACCUAAUCAGAAAGCCACGGCUAACUACGUG
This 497-nucleotide ribosomal RNA is filed under the name uncultured bacterium. Its description in RNAcentral is "partial 16S ribosomal RNA". It matches the Rfam family "Bacterial small subunit ribosomal RNA", at positions 28 to 507 of the family's 1533-position model. The record is from RNAcentral.